UACGGGGGGGGCAAGCGUUGUUCGGAAUUACUGGGCGUAAAGGGCUCGUAGGCGGCCAACUAAGUCAGACGUGAAAUCCCUCGGCUUAACCGGGGAACUGCGUCUGAUACUGGAUGGCUUGAAUCCGGGAGAGGGAUGCGGAAUUCCAGGUGUAGCGGUGGAAUGCGCAGAUAUCAGGAGGAACACCGGUGGCGAAGGCGGCCCACUGGUCCGGUACUGACGCUGAGGUGCGAAAGCGUGGGGAGCAAACAGG
This 253-nucleotide ribosomal RNA is filed under the name uncultured bacterium. RNAcentral describes it as "partial 16S ribosomal RNA". It matches the Rfam family "Bacterial small subunit ribosomal RNA", at positions 524 to 776 of the family's 1533-position model. The record is from RNAcentral.